GGUAGCGUGGCCGAGCGGUCUAAGGCGCCAGUUUCAGGUACUGGUCUCUUCGGAGGCGUGGGUUCGAAUCCCACCGCUGCCA
Molecule: non-coding RNA, 82 nt
Organism: Lupinus angustifolius (narrow-leaved blue lupine)
Lineage: Eukaryota; Viridiplantae; Streptophyta; Magnoliopsida; Fabales; Fabaceae
Source: Rfam